AAUGGCACUGGAAGAAAUGUGAUAACUACAGAGGCAAACAGCGACUCUGAGAAAAUUGAAUCCACCCUCAUUUGAUCCAGGACUGGAAUGGUUGUUGGUGGAAGAUGGUGCAGAGUCUAAGAGAAUUGACGUAUUAUCUUGGAUCCCAGUGGCAAGGGAACACUUCUGUCCUACAAUAAUCUCUCCCAUCCCCAACAGGAAAAAGGAAGAAGACUGAUAGAAGACUGUGGCCAUGAUUUACUGCCUGAAGCAAAGUACUGCCAGCCAAGGAUCAUGCUGUUUGGACUAUCAGACAGGAAUUGAGGAGAGAGCUACAAUCAUUGUGGAAAAUAUUCGGAUAGUGCUUACAUGAUACAUGACCAAUAAUAAAGAAAGCAAAAUUCUCUCUGUCUCAUUUUUUAAUCAUAAAAGCCACA
RNAcentral lists this long non-coding RNA (416 nucleotides) under Homo sapiens (human). RNAcentral's name for it is "non-protein coding lnc-USP13-7:4". Lineage: Eukaryota; Metazoa; Chordata; Mammalia; Primates; Hominidae. The record is from RNAcentral.